GGCGUCUAAAAAUAUUGAGUUGGGAUCUCUCACAACUAAUAUAAAUGUAUAGCCAGUGGAGACAUACUGGGGCAUCAUGCAGAUGCUAGAGGGCUGGUGAGUCCUGGAUGCAUGGAUAAAAGCAGCCCAUCUAGCAAACACACGAAGAGGUGUUUUCCUGAAUUGGUACAGUUGAAAGACUAAGGCAGAGUCGUGAAGGAACACUUCACUAAAGCAGACACAAGAGAAAAGAUGUUCUACUAAACCAAAAACAUAAAAAGACCCAUGACAAAAGAUUAUUUACUACUAACACUAUGUGUUGAUUUGCCUUAUAUUGCAUGGUUGAGCUGCAUUUGUCAGGACUCCCUGGACUCACACUUAUUGUAUACAUGUGCUAAGACAAGACAUAUGGUGUGGCAAGACACUUGGAGGAAACGUAGUAGGUUGAGUGUACAAAUAGGAGUCAGUGGAGUGAUAGAUGGAUGCUGAACUAGGUUUGCUUAAAGAGCUAGCUGCGCAACCCUUGUGGGUCUUGCCUCCUUGCUGAUCUAUAUUUCCCUGAGAGAGGCAUAGCUGAGAACUCCUUUUGUUCCUGCUGAUCAACCCUGCUGACACAAGCCAAGGCUGAGGUCUGACUGUCUCUGCAAGGUCAUGUCACUGAUGUUGCUACUGAAGUUGACUGCUGGUGUAUCCAUGAAGUGUUUGCGAGUGUAUCAAACUGCUGCUGAAUGAAAACCUGUGAACUAAAGUGCCGAUUUCCAGCCAGGACAGAUAGAUCAUGCUGACCCAGAAAGUGGAGAUCUGAUUGCUGAGAUUAAAGGCUUGAGCCACCAUGAUUAUCUGUAAUAAAGUGAGGUGUUAGAGCCUGUGGCUUAGUGAAGUGAACAACGGGGCUGGAAGCAAGGUCAGAGUCCAAGUCUUUUUGAUAAAGAACCAGGAAUACAUACCAGCACAUCUGGGCUGACUAUCCUUCUUCCCAAGGGAUGGAUCAAUCUCAGAGAAGAUGGUCCUUCCUCCUGAUCUACAGGUUACUCUCUAGAUCAGUAGAGCCUCCUUACAAGUCACCACAUGUAAAUUGGAUUUACAUCCCUAUCAUCUAGAGGAUAGCAAGCACAGAGAACAGCAAAGACAAAAAAGAAAGGACAAAGAACUCAGAGGGUGACACAUUAAUCACUUUGUGUCAUUUUUUUCCUGUUUUACCUUGACUCUGACAUCUAACAAAAAGAGAACAUCAAGAAGAAGAAAAUGAAAGAAACAAACCUCUUUGGAGCCCUGGUGUUGUCGUCAAGUCGAAUUUUUAAAGGACAGAGAGGAGUUGUGAAAAUCAGCUUGCUCAGUGGAAGUCCGCAGUGUUAUAUAAUCAGUACCAUUGUGCUUUAUCUUACAGAAAGUUAAACAUGGCCUGUGGUCACACAGUUACUGAAGAAUUGAACUGUAACCUAUAAUUCUCAUUCUCUCUCUCUCUCUCUCUCUCUCUCUCUCUCUCUCUCUCUCUCAUGAAUAAAAUUUGAAAUUAAACUAC
Long non-coding RNA from Apodemus sylvaticus (European woodmouse), 1501 nucleotides. RefSeq lists it as uncharacterized. The transcript has 4 exons. The record is from RefSeq and is a predicted model, not a curated record. NCBI's taxonomy places the organism in Eukaryota, Metazoa, Chordata, Mammalia, Rodentia, Muridae.